UGCCCAGCAACUCCUAUCCCUACCUCCUCGUGGUACUGGCCGGGGUACAAGCAACCUCACCGGGUAACCAACCGGUGGGAGCUUUGGUCGUAUGCUGACAGGGAAGG
RNAcentral lists this ribozyme (107 nucleotides) under Aedes aegypti (yellow fever mosquito). RNAcentral's name for it is "drz-agam-1 ribozyme". It matches the Rfam family "drz-agam-1 ribozyme". The record is from Rfam by way of RNAcentral. Lineage: Eukaryota; Metazoa; Arthropoda; Insecta; Diptera; Culicidae.